Molecule: ribosomal RNA, 664 nt
Filed under: uncultured archaeon
Lineage: Archaea
Description: bacterial SSU rRNA
Rfam family: Archaeal small subunit ribosomal RNA
Source: RNAcentral
UCGACGGUGAGGGAUGAAAGCUGGGGGAGCAAACCGGAUUAGAUACCCGGGUAGUCCCAGCUGUAAACUAUGCAAACUCAGUGAUGCAUUGGCUUGUGGCCAAUGCAGUGCUGCAGGGAAGCCGUUAAGUUUGCCGCCUGGGAAGUACGUACGCAAGUAUGAAACUUAAAGGAAUUGGCGGGGGAGCACCACAAGGGGUGAAGCCUGCGGUUCAAUUGGAGUCAACGCCAGAAAUCUUACCCGGAGAGACAGCAGAAUGAAGGUCAAGCUGAAGACUUUACCAGACAAGCUGAGAGGUGGUGCAUGGCCGUCGCCAGCUCGUGCCGUGAGAUGUCCUGUUAAGUCAGGUAACGAGCGAGAUCCCUGCCUCUAGUUGCCACUAUUACACCCUGGUGUAGUAGGGCGAAUUAGGGGGACCGCCGCAGUUAAUGCGGAGGAAGGAAGGGGCCACGGCAGGUCAGUAUGCCCCGAAACUCUGGGGCCACACGCGGGCUGCAAUGGUAGCGACAAUGAGUUCCAAAAUCGAAAGAUGGAGGUAAUCCCUAAACGCUACCACAGUUGUGAUUGAGGGCUGCAACUCGCCCUCAUGAACAUGGAAUCCCUAGUAACCGCGUGUCAUUAUCGCGCAGUGAAUACGUCCCUGCUCCUUGCACACACCGCCCGU